This 21-nucleotide non-coding RNA is filed under the name Arabidopsis thaliana (thale cress). The record is from RNAcentral. Lineage: Eukaryota; Viridiplantae; Streptophyta; Magnoliopsida; Brassicales; Brassicaceae.
UGCAAUUUGAUUUCAUUUGUG